Molecule: ribosomal RNA, 505 nt
Filed under: uncultured bacterium
Lineage: Bacteria
Description: bacterial SSU rRNA
Rfam family: Bacterial small subunit ribosomal RNA
Source: RNAcentral
UACGGGAGGCAGCAGUGAGGAAUAUUGGACAAUGGGCGAAAGCCUGAUCCAGCCAUGCCGCGUGCAGGAAGACGGCCCUAUGGGUUGUAAACUGCUUUUAUACGGGAAGAAACACUCUCUCGAGCAGGGGGCUUGACGGUACCGUAUGAAUAAGGAUCGGCUAACUCCGUGCCAGCAGCCGCGGUAAUACGGAGGAUCCGAGCGUUAUCCGGAAUUAUUGGGUUUAAAGGGUCCGUAGGCGGGAGAAUUAGUCAGUGGUGAAAGUCUGUGGCUCAACCAUAGAAUUGCCGUUGAAACUGUUUUCCUUGAGUCAUUAUGAAGUGGUUAGAACAUGUAGUGUAGCGGUGAAAUGCAUAGAUAUUACAUAGAAUACCGAUUGCGUAGGCAGAUCACUAAUAAUGUACUGACGCUGAGGGACGAAAGCGUAGGUAGCGAACAGGAUUAGAUACCCUGGUAGUCUACGCCGUAAACGAUGGUUACUAGCUGUUUGUCCGAUUGAGGAUGA